UACAGAGGUCCCAAGCGUUGUUCGGAUCCACUGGGCGUAAAGGGUGCGUAGGCGGUCGGGUAAGUCUGACGUGAAAUCUUCAAGCUUAACUUGGAAACUGCGUCGGAUACUAUUCGGCUCGAGGAAUGGAGGGGAGACUGGAAUACUUGGUGUAGCAGUGAAAUGCGUAGAUAUCAAGUGGAACACCAGUGGCGAAGGCGAGUCUCUGGACAUUUCCUGACGCUGAGGCACGAAAGCCAGGGGAGCAAACGGG
RNAcentral lists this ribosomal RNA (253 nucleotides) under uncultured bacterium. Its description in RNAcentral is "partial 16S ribosomal RNA". It matches the Rfam family "Bacterial small subunit ribosomal RNA", at positions 524 to 776 of the family's 1533-position model. The record is from RNAcentral.